GACGAACGCUGGCGGCGUGCUUAACACAUGCAAGUCGAACGGGAAGGCCCUGCUUUUGUGGGGUGCUCGAGUGGCGAACGGGUGAGUAACACGUGAGUAACCUGCCCUUGACUUUGGGAUAACUUCAGGAAACUGGGGCUAAUACCGGAUAGGAGCUCCUGCUGCAUGGUGGGGGUUGGAAAGUUUCGGCGGUUGGGGAUGGACUCGCGGCUUAUCAGCUUGUUGGUGGGGUAGUGGCUUACCAAGGCUUUGACGGGUAGCCGGCCUGAGAGGGUGACCGGCCACAUUGGGACUGAGAUACGGCCCAGACUCCUACGGGAGGCAGCAGUGGGGAAUAUUGCACAAUGGGCGGAAGCCUGAUGCAGCAACGCCGCGUGCGGGAUGACGGCCUUCGGGUUGUAAACCGCUUUCGCCUGUGACGAAGCGUGAGUGGCGGUAAUGGGUAAAGAAGCACCGGCUAACUACGUG
This 468-nucleotide ribosomal RNA is filed under the name uncultured bacterium. RNAcentral describes it as "partial 16S ribosomal RNA". It matches the Rfam family "Bacterial small subunit ribosomal RNA", at positions 28 to 507 of the family's 1533-position model. The record is from RNAcentral.